RNAcentral lists this ribosomal RNA (702 nucleotides) under uncultured bacterium. Its description in RNAcentral is "bacterial SSU rRNA". It matches the Rfam family "Bacterial small subunit ribosomal RNA", at positions 28 to 729 of the family's 1533-position model. The record is from RNAcentral.
GAUGAACUUUGGCGGCGUGCUUAACACAUGCAAGUCGAACGAAGCACCUUGAUUUGAUUCUUCGGAUGAAGAUCUUGGUGACUGAGUGGCGGACGGGUGAGUAACGCGUGGGUAACCUGCCUCAUACGGGGGGAUAACAGUUAGAAAUGACUGCUAAUACCGCAUAACACCACAGCACCGCAUGGUGCAGGGGUAAAAACUCCGGUGGUAUGAGAUGGACCCGCGUCUGAUUAGGUAGGUGGUGGGGUAACGGCCUACCAAGCCGACGAUCAGUAGCCGACCUGAGAGGGUGACCGGCCACAUUGGGACUGAGACACGGCCCAAACUCCUACGGGAGGCAGCGGUGGGGAAUAUUGCACAAUGGGGGAAACCCUGAUGCACCGACGCCGCGUGAGCGAUGAAGUAUUUCGGUAUGUAAAGCUCUAUCAGCAGGGAAGAAAAUGACGGUACCUGACUAAGAAGCACCGGGCUAAAUACGUGCCAGCAGCCGCGGUAAUACGUAUGGUGCAAGCGUUAUCCGGAUUUACUGGGUGUAAAGGGAGCGUAGACGGAGUGGCAAGUCUGAUGUGAAAACCCGGGGCUCAACCCCGGGACUGCAUUGGAAACUGUCAAUCUGGAGUACCGGAGAGGUAAGCGGAAUUCCUAGUGUAGCGGUGAAAUGCGUAGAUAUUAGGAGGAACACCAGUGGCGAAGGCGGCUUCC